RNAcentral lists this ribosomal RNA (465 nucleotides) under uncultured bacterium. RNAcentral's name for it is "partial 16S ribosomal RNA". It matches the Rfam family "Bacterial small subunit ribosomal RNA", at positions 28 to 507 of the family's 1533-position model. The record is from RNAcentral.
GACGAACGCUGGCGGCGUGCUUAACACAUGCAAGUCGAACGGAAAGGCCCCUUUGGGGGUACUCGAGUGGCGAACGGGUGGGUAACACGUGAGUAACCUGCCCUUGACUUCGGGAUAACUUCAGGAAACUGGGGCUAAUACCGGAUAGGAAUCCUUGCUGCAUGGUGGGGGUUGGAAAGCUUCGGCGGUUUUGGAUGGACUCGCGGCUUAUCAGCUUGUUGGUGGGGUAGUGGCUUACCAAGGCUUUGACGGGUAGCCGGCCUGAGAGGGCGACCGGCCACAUUGGGACUGAGAUACGGCCCAGACUCCUACGGGAGGCAGCAGUGGGGAAUAUUGCACAAUGGGCGGAAGCCUGAUGCAGCAACGCCGCGUGCGGGAGGACGGCCUUCGGGUUGUAAACCGCUUUCAGCAGGGGCGAAGCUUGUGGUGACGGUACCUGCAGAAGAAGCACCGGCUAACUACGUG